GGACUGAUGGAGGAGAAUCAGCAGCAUCCUCUCUCUGUGUUUCUUCUACAGGUGAAGCUCCACAGUCUCUGGGACUGGAUGUGAACUCAGCAGCUGAGCAUCUUCCCAGGAACAUUGUCAGUGCUGCUGUUGUACUGACAGAGUGCAGCUCUGCCAUGAGUCUGUGUGAGGACAGAGAAGAGGGAGGCCCUCCCUCUGAAAGCCCUCUGUGUGGGGACCAUGAGAGCCAGAGCACAGUUCCCAGGUUCUCUAUCACUUGUUCAAGGAGUUUUCCCACGCUGCGACUGUGACUGUAGGCGACGCCUUCCUCGGUGUGGUCUGCUUCUCCGUGGUUUCCUUGGGGGAGGGACGUCAUAGUGGGGGCCAUCUUUGGCAUCCUGGGGGCCGUUUCACCUCUCACACGUGUGUCAUCGAGCCCCUGUUUGUCUUCGUCUGCAGCUACAUGGCUUACCUCACUGCAGAGGUCUUCCAUCUGUUAGGGAUCAUGUCGUAAGUGGACUAAGCCAAGUUUGUGUCGUACCCUACAGUAGGGGACUGGUUUUCUGAUGUUACAAAAAUUAUACUGUACAUGUUUGUCUGAAUUUGUAGCCUGCAGCUGACCUGCUGGUUGAAAAGCUUUACAUUAAAAUCAAAACAAAACAACAUAUAUGCAUGUGAAACAUAUUCAUUUAUGUAAACAACUUUCACAGUUGGUCAGUAUAGAAAACACAGACAGUGAACUCUGUCAGUCUCUUGGCCCAAUAACACCACUGUGUUAAUGUUAAUAUGUGCAAAGAAAACCAGUAAUUAUUGAUGAUGGCACCUUUUUAAUAACCAUAUAUUUACUGAUUGGUUGUAAACUUGUUAUAUUUAUGUUUCCAGCAUCUAUUAUAUACUUUAUAAAAUAUAGGCCAAUGUAAGUUAUUAUUAGUGUUAUUAGUGUUGCUGCUGUUUUUUCUCUCUUCCUCCUGCUUUAUAAGCUCUAUUUGUGUUUCAGGAGUGAUGGGUCUCACCUACAUCAUCAAUAAAUUCCAUAUUGUGAAGCUGACCAAGAAGGACCAGUUCAUCUUGGCCUACAGUGGCCUGUGAGGUGCCAUAGCCUUCUCCCUGGACUUCCUGCUCACCAACAACGAGAUGAAGAACAUGUUCCUCACGGCCAUUAUUGCUGUCUUCUUCUUCAGUGUUUGUGCAGGGAAUGACGAUCCGUCCUCUGGUGGAGCUCCUUGCAGUGAAGAAGAAGGUGAGCAAACGGUUGAUUAACGAAGAGAUUCACACACGGGUGCCAUCAGUAAUAAUUAGUUUCACAAUUUUACUUGAUUUUUUUAUGGCAAACACUGACAAUGUUCUCCGCAGUCCACAUGUUGAAGUGUCCUCGGACACUGAACCCCAAGUUGCUCCUGAUGGCCAGGACAACACUGCCCCUGCAGGGUGCUGCCAUCAGUUUGUGUGUGUGUGUGUGUGUGUGUGUGUGUGUGAGUUGGCACCGCAGAUGGCUGUCUUUGUUCUGUAUUGGAGACAAAUUCCUCCUGUGUUUAACAUACUUGGCCAGUAAAAGUGAUUAUAAAAAUGAGUGGAAGAGUGUUACAGUACAUUAAAGUGAAUGAAGUGCAUACAGAUGUACAGGCAUAAUGUUAUGCCUAAUUGGUGUAUAACCUAGUGACAGAUGUAUAGGACUAUCAUAAUCAAUAAGUACAUUUGUAAAUCCAACAGAGAGGGAAAAUGCUUUCGGUCAGGGUAUUUGUACCUAGCUAGCUAACCUUAGCUUCCGUCAGAAAGCUACAGUUAGCUGGCUAUUAGAAUAAUAACGGAAAACGUGGAAAAGAAUUUGUAAUCUCUUUACAAAAUAGUAAAAAAUAUUAUACAAUAGGCUAGGAUUUUCCACAGUUUCUUGUAGAGGGCCCAACUUCAAAUUUUUUCAUAGGGCCCAAAACUGCUAGCGGCGCCCCUGGUAAUUUCAAUAUUGUAAUACAAGUGAAGAGAUUUGUGAUCCAGAAGAUGUUUUGCUUUAUUUAAUAUUGCAGUGCUUCUUGAAAGUUUUUGUACAUGCUUUAUGUCACUUUCGGCUUUUCCCAUUUAGGGGUCGCCACAACGAAUCGUCGCACUGACGAC
Molecule: long non-coding RNA, 2088 nt
Organism: Monopterus albus (swamp eel)
Lineage: Eukaryota; Metazoa; Chordata; Actinopteri; Synbranchiformes; Synbranchidae
Exons: 3
Source: RefSeq, a predicted model, not a curated record